AUUGAACGCUGGCGGCAUGCCUUACACAUGCAAGUCGAACGGCAGCACGGGGCAACCUGGUGGCGAGUGGCGAACGGAUGAGUAAUGCAUCGGAACGUGCCAUUGAGUGGGGGAUAACGUAGCGAAAGUUGCGCUAAUACCGCAUAUUCUGUGAGCAGGAAAGCAGGGGACCGCAAGGCCUUGCGCUCUUUGAGCGGCCGAUGUCAGAUUAGCUAGUUGGUGAGGUAACGGCUUACCAAGGCGACGAUCUGUAGCGGGUCUGAGAGGAUGAUCCGCCACACUGGAACUGAGACACGGUCCAGACUCCUACGGGAGGCAGCAGUGGGGAAUUUUGGACAAUGGGCGCAAGCCUGAUCCAGCCAUGCCGCGUGAGUGAAGAAGGCC
This 384-nucleotide ribosomal RNA is filed under the name uncultured bacterium. RNAcentral's name for it is "bacterial SSU rRNA". It matches the Rfam family "Bacterial small subunit ribosomal RNA", at positions 30 to 416 of the family's 1533-position model. The record is from RNAcentral.